GACGAACGCUGGCGGCGUGCUUAACACAUGCAAGUCGAACGAAGUGGCGAACGGGUGAGUAACGCGUAAUCAACCUGCCCAUCAGAGGGGGACAACAGUUGGAAACGACUGCUAAUACCGCAUACUGAAGGGGGGGAUUGCGUCGGAUAAGCUCGGUGGAGGGGUAACGGCCCACCAAGGCGAUGAUCAGUAGCCGGGCUGGGAGGAUGAACGGCCAAAUUGGGACUGGGACACGGGCCAGAAUCCUACGGGAGGCAGCAGGUGGGAAUCUUCCGAAAUGGACGGAAGUCUGGCGGAGCAACGCCGCGGGAGUGAUGACGGCCUUCGGGUUGGAAAGCUCUGUUAAUCGGGACGCGGUACCGGAAUAGAAAGCCACGGCUAACUACGUGCCAGCAGCCGCGGUAAUUC
RNAcentral lists this ribosomal RNA (408 nucleotides) under uncultured bacterium. RNAcentral describes it as "partial 16S ribosomal RNA". It matches the Rfam family "Bacterial small subunit ribosomal RNA", at positions 28 to 526 of the family's 1533-position model. The record is from RNAcentral.